UGGGGAAUUUUGGACAAUGGGCGAAAGCCUGAUCCAGCAAUGCCGCGUGUGUGAAGAAGGCCUUCGGGUUGUAAAGCACUUUUGUCCGGAAAGAAAUCCUUGGCUCUAAUACAGUCGGGGGAUGACGGUACCGGAAGAAUAAGCACCGGCUAACUACGUGCCAGCAGCCGCGGUAAUACGUAGGGUGCAAGCGUUAAUCGGAAUUACUGGGCGUAAAGCGUGCGCAGGCGGUUUGCUAAGACCGAUGUGAAAUCCCCGGGCUCAACCUGGGAACUGCAUUGGUGACUGGCAGGCUAGAGUAUGGCAGAGGGGGGUAGAAUUCCACGUNUAGCAGUGAAAUGCGUAGAGAUGUGGAGGAAUACCGAUGGCGAAGGCAGCCCCCUGGGCCAAUACUGACGCUCAUGCACGAAAGCGUGGGGAGCAAACAGGAUUAGAUACCCUGGUAGUCCACGCCCUAAAACGAUGUCAACUAGUUGUUGGGGAUUC
This 486-nucleotide ribosomal RNA is filed under the name uncultured bacterium. RNAcentral's name for it is "partial 16S ribosomal RNA". It matches the Rfam family "Bacterial small subunit ribosomal RNA", at positions 355 to 832 of the family's 1533-position model. The record is from RNAcentral.